UUUUGGUUGAGAUGGAUCGUUGUGUCUGUGGGUUUAGCAGCUCUCGUAAUGUCAGUCGUAAUUCUCAACCUGUGGUUGAAAACUAAAGGAAAUAAACAAAAUGAGCAAAACCUGGAGUGUAACGAUGAAGACGAAGAGGAAGGUGUAGAGAUUUAUGAAAACUGAUUUGUGCUGCUGUCAGGCAGAACUGAUUAACAACUUCAGCAUCAGCUUCCUGCAGGAAUCAGACCGCUGCAUAUGAUGAAUAUCUCAUUAUGCUUAACAUCAGGAGAUGAUAAUAGAAAAACUGAUUAUCUUAAAAAGUUACAUCUCUUCAUAUCAGUUUUAGCCUGAAACUUCAUUUCUGAAACGUUUUCUUUUGCUUCUGACCCCCACAACUUUCCUUACUGCAUCGUUUGUUUAAUAUUUGGGGAGUUUAAAUUUUAACAAUGAAUGAAAGUAUAAACAAGAGUCAACAUGAAACUUUUAAAAUAUGUCUUUAAACUGAAAAGCUGUGCAUUAAUGUAAUGUAAUGAUGCAGUCCAAACUCCUCAAUUUGACCACAAAUCAAGCCUUUGCUAGAAAUGACUCUGUUUGGCCACCAGGGGGUGAUGUAGCUGUUAACGAAAUUAUUGGGGUAAA
Long non-coding RNA from Poeciliopsis prolifica (blackstripe livebearer), 621 nucleotides. RefSeq lists it as uncharacterized. NCBI's taxonomy places the organism in Eukaryota, Metazoa, Chordata, Actinopteri, Cyprinodontiformes, Poeciliidae. The transcript has 3 exons. The record is from RefSeq and is a predicted model, not a curated record.